AGCUCCAUUAGCGUAUAUUAAAGUUGUUGCAGUUAAAAAGCUCGUAGUUGGAUUUCGGUGUGGGCCAGUGGGUCGGCCGCGAGGCCUGUUACUGACUGGUCCGCUCUUCCUCCCAAAGACUGCGCGUGCCCUUCGCUGGGUGUGCGUAUUUGGAUUUGGGACGUUUACUUUGAAAAAAUUAGAGUGUUCAAGGCAGGCUCGCCAGCUUGAAUACAUGAGCAUGGAAUAAUGGAAUAGGACUACGGUCCCUAUUUCGUUGGUUUGACGGACCGAAGUAAUGAUUAAGAGGGACAAUUGGGGGCAUCCGUAUUUCGUAGUCAGAGGUGAAAUUCUUGGACCUACGAAAGACGAACGACUGCGAAAGCAUUUGCCAAGAGUGUUUUCAUUAAUCAAGAACGAA
This 400-nucleotide ribosomal RNA is filed under the name phytoplankton environmental sample. Its description in RNAcentral is "partial small subunit ribosomal RNA". It matches the Rfam family "Eukaryotic small subunit ribosomal RNA", at positions 587 to 987 of the family's 1831-position model. The record is from RNAcentral.